AGUGAACGCUGGCGGUAGGCCUAACACAUGCAAGUCGAACGGCAGCACAGUAAGAGCUUGCUCUUACGGGUGGCGAGUGGCGGACGGGUGAGGAAUACAUCGGAAUCUACUUUUUCGUGGGGGAUAACGUAGGGAAACUUACGCUAAUACCGCAUACGACCUACGGGUGAAAGCAUGGGAUCUUCGGACCUUGCGCGAUUGAAUGAGCCGAUGUCGGAUUAGCUAGUUGGCGGGGUAAAGGCCCACCAAGGCGACGAUCCGUAGCUGGUCUGAGAGGAUGAUCGGCCACACUGGAACUGAGACACGGUCCAGACUCCUACGGGAGGCAGCAGUGGGGAAUAUUGGACAAUGGGCGCAAGCCUGAUCCAGCCAUACCGCGUGGGUGAAGAAGGCCUUCGGGUUGUAAAGCCCUUUUGUUGGGAAAGAAAAGCAGCAGGUUAAUACCCCGCUGUUCUGACGGUACCCAAAGAAUAAGCACCGGCUAACUUCGUG
RNAcentral lists this ribosomal RNA (492 nucleotides) under uncultured bacterium. RNAcentral's name for it is "partial 16S ribosomal RNA". It matches the Rfam family "Bacterial small subunit ribosomal RNA", at positions 29 to 507 of the family's 1533-position model. The record is from RNAcentral.